UUUUAAUCCAUUUACAUUUAAGGUAAUUAUUGAUCGCUAAAGACUUACUGUUGUCAUUUGUUAGUUAUUUUCUUCCUUUUUUUAAUUCUUUAGCC
This is a long non-coding RNA of Mustela erminea (ermine), 95 nucleotides long. RefSeq lists it as uncharacterized. NCBI's taxonomy places the organism in Eukaryota, Metazoa, Chordata, Mammalia, Carnivora, Mustelidae. The record is from RefSeq and is a predicted model, not a curated record. The transcript has 3 exons.